RNAcentral lists this long non-coding RNA (670 nucleotides) under Homo sapiens (human). RNAcentral describes it as "HSALNT0395808". The record is from RNAcentral. Lineage: Eukaryota; Metazoa; Chordata; Mammalia; Primates; Hominidae.
ACGGGACACCUGCAUCUGCCAACAAGACUGGAAGCAGAAAGGGACAGAGACGGCGAAGUUUGACGGUCUGGAAAGCAGAGACCAGCAGGGCUGACUGCUUGGGAGCACGAGGGACAGCUCUCCACCGACCGAAGGAGGAGAAUGCUAUUUAUUUCAGCACCAAAUAUCCGGACAGCGCCUCUCGGGAGGUCCGAGAAGAGAACCGCGAUCUGUUUCAGCACCGGGGCUCAGGACAGUUCCCAGCGGGCUCCGUUUCGUCUCCAGAACCCUGGACAGCUCCUCCAGCCUCAGGGCUUUUGCCUCUGCUGUUCCUGCAGCUUGGAAUGCACUCCCUCCACCUCCAACCAGAGCUCCCCACAACUGACCCUGCCUUCUUCUGCAAGCUCCAUUUCAUCAAGGGAAACGAUCCUUAUUGCCUCACCAUUUCCCACGUGAAGUCUGUAUUGACAUUCUCAUAGACCUGGGAUAUUGUGUCUGCAGCACAUAGUCCAAUUAUUUUCAUGUUAUCUACUGACAGGUCUAUUUGUCUCCCUGUUACACUGUGAGCUCCGUGAGGGCAGAAACAAUGUUAGUAUUUUCACUGCUGUGUCCCCAGCGCCUGGUCCGGGGCCCGGCACACAGCAGGCAUAUAAUAAGCAUGUGUUGAAUCAAUAAAGGCAUCAAAGAAUAA